UUCUCUGGUUAUGGACCUGGAGUGAGAAUUGUCACGUUUUCAUCUAAAGGUAUGUAAUCUUAAGAUAGUUUUAUGACGUACUAAAACCGCGUUGAUAAUGCUUAAAAAUUUUCUAAAGGUCGUUAAAGCUCCAAGUUUAAUCAAACUAUUACUUUGGCUAAGCCGUAUUUGUCACAGCUGUUUGGAAUUUUUUUUUUAUGGCCCUGCAACGAAGUUGUCGGUGCCAUAUAGUUUUAUCCUUGUCCGAAAUUCCGAAAUUCCGUAAUUCCGUAAUUCCGAUAUUCCGUAAUUCCGAUAUUCCGAAAUUCCGUAAUUCUGUCAUUUUGUCAUUCUGCAACAAACCAUUAUACGGAGUUUUUUUCGACACGCCUUCAGAUAUUGCAUUUGGCUGAUUUUUUGUAUGUGAGUUAACCAUGAUGAGUUACAGAUCAAGUAUAAGUUUUGUUCCGCAUCGCUAAUUUUUGCUGAAAUUACAGGCUUUGGACUUUGAUAAAUUAUUGAAAAUCAUAGUUAUACGGAUUUUUUUUCUAUACCCCUCCAGAUUUUGAGCUGAUUUUUGAUAUGUGAGACUACCAUCAUGUUUGUGUCCACAUGUGUUAUUGAAAUUGCAGAUUUUUCAACUUUUUGGGACGGGCCAUUCGUGUCGCUUUGACACUAGUUUUAAGACUACAUUUUCGUUUAUGAUAUGGUCUUUCAACUGUUUUGAUAUAAAUGUUACUGAUGAGUCCUAUGUAGACAAAACGCACGUUUUGAGAACAAAAAUUAUAAGGUUGGUAUCUUUAUCUACGUAUCACAAACUAGCAUGUUCAUUUGAUAUUCUUGGUAUAUAUUACUAUCGCUACUUUACAAAAUUUUCCUCUGAUCUUACUGACUGAUAAUUUCCCUUCUCAACACAGUAGAAGGAUCUGCAUUGUUUUGCUAGAAACUAAGGGCACACGUGCUAUUGUCAAUGAAAUUAUCAAUGUCGUCAUAGGUAAAAUAGCGAUAAACAGAUUAUCAAUGGUCUUCUCAACUCGAUUGGUUUUCUCCCUUUCGCCGUACCGACACAAGCGAGAAUAUCAAUCUCGUUGAAAUGAUCAUGAUAAAAAAAUAUGUAAUUAAUAACAUAUCUUUUAAACUGGCAGCAAUGUUCCAAAGUAAGGUCCCUCUUUUAAGCUUUUGAUCCCUAUAAUACUAUAACUUGGUCUGAUUGGUGUCAUGCACGUUACCUUUGUACUAUCAAACUAAUAUUGACAUAACUUUGUAUGCUGAUUCAUCAUGGGAUAAGGUGUAUCAUAUUAUCAGUCAGAUCACUCUUAUCUUGAAUUUUUCCGUUGACCCCUUCGUUAGUAAAACAUUCUCUUAUUUGUGUUUGGUGCAUACCAUUUCUAGUGUAGCACUUAAUAUUGAAAAGAUUUAUAAUGAUAUCUGUCAAAUAUCUAUCAAAAUAUUGUUGUUACUAUAAAGAUCAUAAUCGCUGUUUUGUGUAUUUUUCCGUUAAUCUUUUAGUCUGAUAACUUUUAAUAUCAUGCUACUUUGAAAAUUAUCGUCAGAAACUAAGGGCGCACAUGUCAUUGUCAAUGUAAACAUCAACAUCGUCAUUAUCAAAAUGGCGAUAAGCAAGUUAUCACUGGACUCUCAAACUAGAGGAUGCUUAUCGGCCACAUCUCAUCUCAAGGCUGUCGACCUUCGAUGAGAUUGAAACUGAGAAUCACCCUCUCGUUUAAAAAGAAACAUCGAUACAUUGUAAUCUAAAAUUAUAUAAUUAUAUUUUUAUUAGGUAAGGACGACAAAUACUGGCAAGGGUAUUUUGGUCCUUAUAUAUCAGCUGCUGGAAUUCGUGUGAAGAAGGAAAGUAAACCAGCCGAGAAUGACAGCUUUUCAGAUAUUGAUCAGGUAUUGUAAUAGUUUUAUAGUAAACCUAUGUCUGUAUUGUUUCUUCAAAUUAUUGAGGAUAAAUGAUAGAGGUUAGUGACGUGUUUGUUAUUUUGGCUGUUGUUUGAGGAUACGACAGACGUGUGUAUGUUAGCAUGUUAAGAAGUUUUAUUUCACGUAUUGAUUUUAUAUUUUCGAGGUAGUUACCUUAAGUUAUUAGUUAUAAACUCAAAUGAAAACUGUUUUAAUGAUCUACUUAUAAAUUUAAAGUCAAAACUCAUCUUCAUUGAUGAAGAUCAAUCCAUGUUUACAAACAAUUACAACAUUACGGGAAUUUCACUUGUGUGAUCCAUGGUUGCCAAUUGGAAAACAAUAUGUAACAAUCUCUCUUAUCAAACAUAAGCUAAUAGAACUCGCCAAGGGAUUUGUUUUUGUCCCGACUGAUAAGGCUGCUAAUACUAUCAUUAUAGUUUGACAUAAAUUUUACAUUGAGGUUUUGAAUAGAGAAUAUAAUGAAAGUUCGAACUAUGCACUGGCUUCCGAAGCUUCCUUAAACUCCUAACACAUAUAUAUUUAUUUCAUCUUCAAGCCAUUGGUCCACUACUUAACUAUCUAUUCUUCUUACAAAAACACUUGGUACAAUAAAAAAUCUGGUAAUACACUGUUUAAAUAAGGCCUUUGAAAGAAUAGACAUUAAUUCUUUUGGAGUGUCAAAAAUUCGUUGGAAGUACUUGAUAACGUGCAUGCUUAUAUUGGUGAUUUCGAAUUUGUUCAAAGUUUUGAUUUUUCUACCCUAAAUACCACUUUGCCUUAUAAUCUUCUAAAGAAAAAAAUCACACACCUGAUUGAAUGAGUAUUUAAACAGUCGGAAUGUGAAUAUAUAUGUUCGAACUUUUUCAUGUCAUUUUUAAUAACAACAGACAAAAGAACCAUGUUAAUUUGUCCUGCUUUGAUACUAUAACUUCUACACAUUUUUUUAUUUAGGGGCCAGCUAAGGACCACUUCUAGGUGCGGGAUUUCUCGCUGUAUUGAGGACCCAUUGGUGGACUUCGGUUGUUAUCUAAUUUGUGGUCGGGUGAUUGUCUCUUUGACAUAAUCCCCAUUUCCAUUCUACAAAAUUUAGUAACAUUAGCCUAUUAUGCUGUUUGGGUUGCUCAUCUAAUUUUGUCUAUAUAAUGAUAACAGAACUACAAACAACUGUCACUCAUGCAGGGGUUCAGCUAGUUAUAAAAUAUGGUUGAGUUCACAUCUUUUUUCGGUAAAUGUCUGUAAGAAGUCGGGAAUAUGGUAGUUGAUUUUCCACUUGUUCCGUUGGUAACAUUCGAUUUUUACCUAUUUUAUGAACCCCCAUAUUGAAAUUGCCUUGGAGAUCGAUAUUUUUUUUCUUGUAAUAAACUAUCAAGGAGUUGUAUUUUCCAAGGCCGUGAUAUAAAUCUGCUCACUUCCGCCUAAUUAUUUAAAAUGCUAUCAUGAACGCAUGAAAACCAUAGUAUUUUAGAAGGCCGAGUUUAAGGUAUUUAUUUCUUAGAUUUUAAUUUCCUACAUUCUCAAUUUGACUCUUUUUUUCAUAACGAAAAUAAAGAAGUAAUGAUACAGCUUGAGCAUUUUUAUGCAAAUUGCAUGGAUGAAAGUUAAAUUUCAUUAAAGAUAUGUACAACUUUAUUUCAGUGUUAUAUUUAACAUUGCAAUAAAAGUGUGAGGUUUGGCUAGUCGCAAAACCGUGUUUAACCCACCUUUUUUUUCUUAAAAUGUCUUGUGCCGAGUCGUUGUUUUUCUCUUAAAGUUGAUGUGUUUACCUCAGUUUAAGUUUGUGACCUGGAUUUGAUUUCUUUUAAUCGAUUUAUGUCUUUCAAACAAAGGUAUACUGCUGUUGACCUUCUUUGUUAACCUCGCAAUUCUACAAUAGCAAGGAAAUAGUGAACCAAUUAUGUUGCUUUAAUUUAAUGAAAAUUCCUUCUGUUUGGUAAUUAUCUCUUUCACAAAUAUUAAUUCUUUGAAUAUUCAACAUUAACAGACUGACGUCACUACCAAAAGAUCGAGCUUAGAAAAAAUGGUGACGAAUAUUCUAACUAGCAAUCAGAGUAUGUUUGAAGAUCUUGUUGACGACAAAAGUAAGUAUUUAGGAUUACACUAUUAAUACCAAUCAGAUCAGAGAAUAUUUUUUUCUCCGAAAAAUCAAUCAAAUACCAUUAGUCUUAGGAGGACAUAAAAGAAUAGAAAAAAGACAAAUGCCUCCUGUAGAUUACAACACAAACUAAAUAUUUAGGAAAAGAAAUGGCCACAAAAUCCAGAAGUGAACAUAAAUGUCACAAUGGAGCAAUUUUGAAAAUCUACAAUAUAUAACUAAAUUAAUUAAAGUCAUAAGAAACCUCAAAUUAAAAAAAAUAAUGCAUAAUUUUUUUUUUAUAACUCAAUGGAUAGUUUUCAUUAUAAAACUGAUGUACAUAUACUUUUUUCUGAAGAAAAUUCUUUAAUUUAUUCAUAUUUAGAAGAAGUUUACUUUAUUUUAAUUGCUUCCUUCCAAUUCCCCGACAUAUUUUCCGUAUGCAAAGUGACCUCAGUGUGACCCAUCUCGUAAAAAUCCGGUGAUCGCAAUACGCAUGGAUGUCCUUAAAAUAAAUAUUAUCUGAAUAUAAAUGUUAAACACAUGCUCAAUUUCCAUGCUUUUUUGUUGAUUUUUUGUCGAUUGUUGACAAACAGGUGACAGUCGUUAAACUUCGGCUUCAAAACACGAACUUUAAUUACCUGUCAUAUUUUCGCAAUAACACUGACCGAUUGAAAAAAAAACUUGACGAUUAUACGAAAUUUACACGAAAAAAAAAUGAUAAAUUCGUGCACAGAAGACUAAGUUUAUGAUGUUUGUAUGCAUUGGUUCAAGAUUGGAAGAACAUUAUUUUUCACCGGUCACUCGUUUCUUAUGACUUUAAACUUUCUACCUUAUUGUUCAGGAUAUACAAGGCUUAAACUGAUUUUAACAUUUUUAAUGAUUGCAUUUGAUCUUUUUUACACCAGAAUAAAAAAUUUAGAAAAAAAUGGAUUUAAAGAAGAUUAGAUGAGUUGGUAUCUUCGAUGAGUUUAUCUAAUACCAGUCUUAUAUAUAUUGUUGGAUGGAUAGGCACAUCUGAUGAGUUUAUCUAAUACCAGACUUAUAUAUAUUGUUGGGUGGAUAGGCACAUCUGAUGAGUUCAUCUAAUACCAGUCUUAUAUAUAUUGUUGGAUGAGAUAGGCACAUCUGAUGAGUUUAUCUAAUACCAGUCUUAUAUAUAUUAUUGGGUGAGAUAGGCACAUCUGAUGAGUUUAUCUAAUACCAGUCUUAUAUAUAUUGUUGGAUGGAUAGGCACAUCUGAUUAGUUUAUCUAAUACUAGUCUUAUAUAUAUUGUUGGAUGAGAUAGGCACAUCUGAUGAGUUUAUCUAAUACCAGUCUUAUAAAUACAUUGUUGGAUGAGAUUGGCACAUCUGAUGAGUUUAUCUAAUACCAGUCUUAUAUAUAUUGUUGGAUGAGAUAGGCACAUUUGAUGAGUUUAUCUAAUACCAGUCUUAUAUAUACAUUGUUGGAUGAGAUAGGCACAUCUGAUGAGUUUAUCUAAUACCAGUCUUAUAUAUAUUGUUGGAUGAGAUAGGCACAUCUGAUGAUUUAUCUAAUACCAGUCUUAUAUAUACAUUGUUGGGUGAGAUAGGGACAUCUGAUGAGUUUAUCUAAUACCAGUCUUAUAUAUAUUGUUGGGUGAGAUAGGCACAUCUGAUGAGUUUAUCUAAUACCAGUCUUAUAUACAUUGUUGGAUGGAUAGGCACAUCUGAUGAGUUUAUCUAAUACCAGUCUUAUAUAUAUUGUUGGGUGAGAUAGGCACAUCUGAUGAGUUUAUCUAAUACCAGUCUUAUAUAUACAUUAUUGGAUGAGAUAGGCACAUCUGAUGAGUUUAUCUAAUACCAGUCUUAUAUAUAUUGUUGGGUGAGAUAGGCACAUCUGAUGAGUUUAUCUAAUACAGUCUUAUAUAUACAUUGUUGGAUGAGAUAGGCACAUCUGAUGAGUUUAUCUAAUACCAGUCUUAUAUAUAUUGUUGGGUGAGAUAGGCACAUUUGAUGAGUUUAUCUAAUACCAGUCUCAUAUAUACAUUGUUGGAUGAGAUAGGCACAUCUGAUGAGUUUAUCUAAUACCAGUCUUAUAUAUAUUGUUGGAUGAGAUAGGCACAUCUGAUGAGUUUAUCUAAUACCAGUCUUAUAUAUAUUGUUGGGUGAGAUAGGCACAUCUGAUGAGUUUAUCUAAUACCAGUCUUAUAUAUACAUUGUUGGAUGGAUAGGCACAUCUAAUGAGUUUAUCUAAUACCAGUCUUAUAUAUAUUGUUGGGUGAGAUAGGCACAUCUGAUGAGUUUAUCUAAUACCAGUCUUAUAUAUACAUUGUUGGAUGAGAUAGGCACAUCUGAUGAGUUUAUCUAAUACCAGUCUUAUAUAUAUUGUUGGAUGAGAUAGGCACUUCUGAUGAGUUUAUCUAAUACCAGUCUUAUAUAUACAUUGUUGGAUGAGAUAGGCACAUCUGAUGAGUUUAUCUAAUACCAGUCUAUAUAUAUACAUUGUUGGAUGAGAUAGGCACAUCUGAUGAGUUUAUCUAAUACCAGUCAUAUAUAUACAUUAUUGGAUGAGAUAGGGACAUCUGCUGAUUUUGGAAACUAUAAGAGCAAAUUUAUGUAUUUUUAAGAUGUUUGAGAAAAGAAGUCAGUGCUUUUAUGCCUUUUUUGCACUCAUGUACUUAUUCAUUUCUUCGAAAUAAGCAGAAAUAAAUUUCUAGCGAAAUAACAUGGUGCAGUUUCAUUCAAGAAGCAUACGUUCCAUAUUAAAUUACCGGCAUAUAAAUUUUUUUUUUUCAGUAUAAAACGACAAAUUAGAAAUUGUGAAUUUAUUUAUAUUCGUUGGUAACACUUGUGAUGGAUAAAAAAGAUAUUGGAUUUUCUUUGAUAUUUGAUUUCGAUGUUUUACCAUAGUCUUGUAUACAAGAUCAUUGAACAAUACAUCAUUGAACAUUUUAAUCUUGGUCCAACUUGUGACAACGAAAUCCACGAACAUUGUAAUCCAACGAACAAAAAUGAAUUCAUAGUAUAAUAUAAAAUGCAAAUUUUGUAGAUUUACCAGUUGACCAGGAGUUCGAAAGGCAAACAGAUAUGUCUAAUGAACUGAAUGGUUGGAAGGGAGGCAAAAAACAAACUCACAAAAAGAGGGAAAUCAGAGUAUUUGUUUCAAGCACAUUUCGAGAUUUUACUUUCGAGAGGGAAGCAAUUAUCAAAAAGGCUUUCAGAGAGGUGAGUGAGAAAAGGUUAAAAGAUAUCAUACAUAGGCCAACAAAACAACAAAAUUGUGAACAUUUAACAAUAAAAAAGAAAUUGCCCAUACUAACAAGCAAAGCAGAAAUUUUGUUCUAUAUAGUUUAUGUCUUUGGCAUGACUGAAAUUUUCAAAUAUACUAAAUCAUAAAAAUUGGUAAAUAUUUCAUCUGCUAUAUGUUUUAGAAUCAGAAGUGUACUUGAAAUUGUUGAAGGUCUUAUUCAUCUUUAAUUACUAUUUCUUUUUGUUCUUUAUAUAUUAACCGACCAUUGUAGUUGCCAUACAAAGUAAACGUUAUGCUUGAAUAAAAAGCACAUCUAUUAGAUAUUAGUCUAUUAAGAUAUUUAAGAUAUAUAAUAUGCUACUCAAGAACAGGCCGACUCAUUUGAGAGUUUUUGACUUUAUAACAUUGACAAUACAAAAAUAGCAAUUCAGAAAACAAAAUAUCAAUCCACAAGAGAGAAAAGAUAAAAAGUAAAAAAAAAAACUGACAACACCAAGAUCAUAGAAAAAAAGAGAAAAAAAGACAGUGAACAAUAAAAAAUUAUUAACCGAAAUCUGAAGAUUAAGCAGAAAAACCACCAAAAUUCGGGGAUAAUAUACGAUGAACCGGAAGGGUUAGCAUUAUCUGCUCCUUAAACGUAUGAUUCCGAUUUGUGGUUGCACUAUAGGUGUUCGAAACCUUCUUCAUUUGUGCUGAAAACUGAAGUAUUUCAAGGAAUAGUCACUAAAAUGUAUUAGAAAAUUUUCCCAAAAUUUUGCCUAGGAUGCAACUUAUGUUUAGUAAAAUGUAAAGUGUACAUUUUCCCAGAAAAUUGUGCAUCAAAAGCAACUUAACAUUCUACUAAUUUAAGGAAUGUGCUUGUUUGGCACUAAAUACUUACCAUAAAGUAAAAAGUUUAUGGCACUAUAAUAUUUACCAAAGUCAAACUUUAGUCAUAAAAGGAUACUGAUUUGUGUUCGGAAUUGUUACUUAGGCGUACUUCAAAUGUUGACACACAAUUUGUAACUGAUGUCUAAAAAUCUUAGUAUAUGAAAUAUGAAUUUAUAUAAUUUUAUUUCAGAUAAAUCGUCUUUGUGUAGACAGAGGUGUAUUUUUCACUUAUGUAGACUUAAGAUGGGGUAUAACAACUGAACAAACAAAUGAUGGCAAAACUAUUGCUAUAUGUUUACAAGAGGCAAGUAUUGACUUUUGCUAUAUGGUAACAAUAAUCUCCAAAUGUAAUCAAUUGGUAUACUUUUACAAGAGGUAUGUGCAACUAUAACAAUAUGUUUAAAAGAGACCAGUAAAAAUAUUUUCAUUGGGCAUGUAAUAUAUUCGUUAAUGUAAGAAGCAAUACCUAAUCUUGUGUGUUUGAGGCAAGUUAACUAUUGAGAAAUACUAUAAAACUUGUUUUUUCUAUAUUCAAAAAGCUAGUUAUUAGUUUUAUUAUUUCAAGGGAGAAGAUGAGAGUGUGUAAGGAUCAAAUUCAAACUCUUAACAAAAAACUAAAUGCUUUGCAAGAGACAUGUAAACAAAUUGAAACACGUAAGAGGCAAGUCAGCACUAUUUGUGUAUUUUAAAAUUUAAAUGUACUAGAUGUCGUUUAAAAGGUACAUCACAUUUCCAGCACCUGUACCUAAACACGCAGUUUUAUCGAGCAUCAAUUUUAUAGUUUUAUUGUUGAUAUUCACCUCAUAUGUACCAAGUUUUAGAAUAAUUUUAUUGAUAUACAAAACUUUCUUGGUAUACCUUAACGGUAGAUUAUACAGACAGAAGGAGAAGUAUACUUAACAACAAAACUAUGUUCUUUUACCUAUGUAUAAUAUGACGUAAUUUUUCAAAGAUGAUGUUUUUUUUUCUGAAAUUGUUUAGCAUUUCACAGCGGUGUAAUACUUUUACUUUAAUUAUUCAUCCCUCAUUUUUAUCAACUUUGCAUUUGCAUUGUAUCAUAGACCAAAUUCAUUCGUUUAGUGUAUGUACAUUUGUGUUACUACGUUUUUUAUUGACUUAAACCAUUCAAAUUGAUAUUUUAUUGUGUGUCUUUUUAUGUUGUGAUGUUUCAGAUAAGGGAGAAGGUAAAAUUUAGACGUUUAAUACCGCUGCAAUUGUUUGCACAUGUCCUAAGUCAGUAAGCUGUGUUCAGAAGUUGUCGUUUAUUAGUUCAUUAGUGUUUUUCGUUUUUUUAUAUAGAUUACACCAUUGGUUUUCCCGUUUAAAUAGUUUUACACUAGCAUUUUUUUAAGGGGCCUUUAUAGAUUGCUGUUCGGUGUGAGCGAGGGCUCCAUGUUGAAGACCGUACCUUGACCUAUAAUGGUUUACUUAAAAAUUGUGAUUUGGAUAGCGAGUUGUCUCAUACGACAUCUUCCUAUAUCUAUAUUAUUGAAGACAUGCUUACAUAUUAUUUCCAUCCGUGUGUUUUGUUAUGAUAAGAAACAAAAAGUUGUGGGAUGACCAAAAAUAAUACUGAAUCGAACAUUUGAUGACAGAAAAUGUUUGUAAAAAUCUAAUUGAAUCUUAGAAAAGUAUGAAGUCAAUGUUAUUUCAGAUAGAUCGAUGCCGUCCAUAUUUUAUCUGUUUGAUGGGGGAUAGAUUUGGCUGGAGCCAAACAGAAGAAAAAAAGGAUGAAACUCUUAAUAUGACGUAUGACUAUGCUAUAGAGAAUAAUCCAAAUCUGAAGUGGAUUGAUGAUUACAGAUACAACACAAGUGUAACACAGGUCAGUUACAUGUACCAAAUAAUAAUUUGACAAUGCAAAUUCAAUAGUGAUUUUUUUUUAACUAGCAUCAUCUUUAGAUACAGUGUAGGAACUAUAAAAUAUAUUAUGUUCUUAGGAUUUAGUCAUUGGCUAAAUCGAAAAUGAUAAAAUGAUCACCAUUAUAAGAUGGUUGUCAAAUAUUGACACAUGGUCCAAAGUGUGACAAAAUAUGCUUUCAGAGUGCAGAAAAGACAAAAGAAGGCACAAUAUUCAUCCAUAGCUUAUGCAUUUUUUUUGUAAACUAAUCAUGGUUUCCUAUGUUAACUGUUUCUGCUUGCAAAAUUUUAGAUUCAAAACAGCACAGCUUGUAUGUUUUAUAUUAAAAGGAGAAAUAACAACCAAUUCACAUCAAUUUAGUAUUUAGUUCCAGAAUAAGUAUAGAAUCGAACUAAAUUAAAGGUCAUAUACAAUGUUUUCCAACAUGAUUGUACUAAGAGAAUGCCUUGUUAAGUGAGAGGUUAAGAUUGAAAACAAUUGUUGACGGAUAUGUCCUUUUUUCCGCGUGGUAGUUUUUAUUGGAUUGAAUGAAAUGUGGCACAUUGAAAACGUUCGAUCAAAAUUACGAUUCCCUAUAGUACACAAUGAAGCCGCAGUAUUGAUAGCAAUAACAUUUGUUAUACCUUUGUAAUAGUCACAUUAAACCAUGUAUUUCUGUGGCAAUAUAAACAGAUCCUCCAAGAGUCCUUAAAUACAAAUUACUGGCAUAUUGUAGAGAACAAUAUUUUAUUUUUCCACUUCUUGUGACCGACCAAAAUUUCCUGCAUAUUCAUCACGAUAAUAAAUGGUCAUUACAAAAAAUAUAUCGAUGUUCAUUCUACCAAGCUCAAAUGCGUUUGCUUAAAAAUGAAUUUUUAUGUCUAUUCUAAACGACAGUUAAUUUUAUAACAAUGUUACCAGACUGAAACGCAUAUCUAAAUUCAGUUAAAGGUUGGACUUUAGAAAAAAAACAUCGAGAUGAGAUAAAUGAAGGUAUAAAACAAAUAAUACUGUUCAUAAGAACGACGUUCCAAAUAGUAUUUGAGGCAAUGGUCAACCUUUUACUUUAUUUUAUUCGAAUGCCAAUGAGGAGUUUUUUUAUAGACGGAACGAGCGUCUGGCGUACAAAAGUUUAAUCCUGGUAUCUAUAAUGAGUAAAUUAAUGUUUCUGUUGUUAAUUGUUUAAUCUCAAUUAUCAAUCAAAUAUAGAUUAUAGAAGAUAAUCACCCGUUGAAAUUACAUUUUAAAAUUUAUAACAAAAUGACUAAGAAUUUCUUCGAAAACUGAAAAUAUGUAUUUCUUCAUUUACGCAUUAUAAAAUUCACAAUACGUUUUUGUUUUAGCUUGAAAUUUUCCAUGGUGUCCUCAAUGAUCCAGAUGAUGUAAAAGACAA
Molecule: long non-coding RNA, 11275 nt
Filed under: Mytilus galloprovincialis (Mediterranean mussel)
Lineage: Eukaryota; Metazoa; Mollusca; Bivalvia; Mytilida; Mytilidae
Source: RNAcentral